Molecule: long non-coding RNA, 452 nt
Filed under: Mytilus galloprovincialis (Mediterranean mussel)
Lineage: Eukaryota; Metazoa; Mollusca; Bivalvia; Mytilida; Mytilidae
Source: RNAcentral
AUAUCGCCUUCUCUAACAAAGAGCUUCGAUUCUUUUGUUCUAUUUCAACUGGGUUUCCGCCUGAUUGCUUGUCAUACAAGUGAAGUUCCCCAUUAUUUCACUAAUAUAUCUAACAUUUAAUACACGCAGGCUUGACAAUGUAGAUAAUCUAGUAAAUUGAAACAUUCCUCCAAUGAUGGAGAGAGUCUAUUGUUGAAAAAAGAGGGACGAGAGAUACCAAAGGGACAGUAAAACUCAUAAAUCUUCUCAAAAGUCGGUAAUUUAAACCUUACAAAUUUCUAUAAUUUGAAUGUUUGCAUGGUUUUGCAUAACUUUACAUGUAUUUACAAUGUAUGUUUCAGUUGACUUCACGCUGUUUAUUUUAACCUGCUAGCUACUUUCAAUUUGAUAAUAAGUUUUUCUUACCUUAGUUUUGUUUUAAAAUGUAAAAACUGUAUGCCUUGUUCCACUUA